RNAcentral lists this long non-coding RNA (637 nucleotides) under Astyanax mexicanus (Mexican tetra). Its description in RNAcentral is "lncRNA (ENSAMXG00005004254.1)". The record is from RNAcentral. Lineage: Eukaryota; Metazoa; Chordata; Actinopteri; Characiformes; Acestrorhamphidae.
CACCGCGUGCUCCCUCUUUUGGAGUUGCGGUCAUGGACGAGCCGGGCAGCGCGCGCAUGAACGGAGAGGCAGACCCUGAAAAGAAGAAGAAGAGGAAGAAGAAGAAGAGCAGGACAGCUCCCUCAGGACACGGUGAACUAGGCGAGGAUGGAGAAGUGGAUGUGAGGAAGCUGGAGGAGAGAGAGAGGGAGGAGGAUGCAGAAGAAGGUGUACUGUACACUCACACUCCGCACUGUGCACUCAUUCAGCUCUGUAUUUAUUUAAAGCACAAUUCCUUCUCUGUUCGUCCUGAGCUCUGUUGAAGCAUUUACACAGGUUUUCUAGCGUUCGGCUGAAAAACAGCAUAUAUCUAUUGAUUUUUAUUUUCUGUCAGUUUUGAUUUAGUGAGGUCUUUUGUUGGCUACAGUCAGUGGGUUUCUGUUUUUCUCUCAGAGCGUUUUAGAGUGUCGGGGGAAUACAAACAAUAUAGAUGGAGAUACAGAACAGAUAGAGAUUACAGUGAAAAGUGCUUGAAAGUACAAUAAUAUAAGAGAGUAUAAUAGUACUCCAUUUUUGUCAUGUUUUUUCUCAUUUAUGUUCUAUUAUCUGGUUUUGUAUUUAUAAAAUUAUUUCUCAUUAAAAAAACAUUUAAUCUUCU